UUACCCUUCCCUGGCCCUACGCUUUGUUUUCUGUUGUGAUCGAAUUCUUGAAUGAAAUUUUCGAUAUGAAAAUACAGUUUCUGUGAUGAGUUGAGGGUGCUGCCUGCUGUUGUUAAGACUUGCAGACGAAGCGCUGCAUUGCUGUUGCUGCGGCUGACUCUAGUGAUUAACCAUCAUUUCAUAUUUCUGUUUUUGUGAUCUAGCAACCCGUAGUUUCAGGAACAGUUUGAUGUGUAGUGAGGUCAGCAACACCAAUUCACAGACCUGUUUCGUUACACUUUAUCAAGUGGGAAGCCAAUCUGUCGAGAGAAACUUAACAUCUAUCCAUUUCAAAUGGUCCUUUGGCUAUGGUAUUCUAGGCACAAGUUUUAAUCCCAGAUUUGCGUCAGGGUCCUGUUUGAAUCAAUUUGGUUCUACCAGGAGCCACCAGCUUGAGAAUAACUGAAUAAGUCCUGUGCGUCGAAUUCUCGACUAGUUGUAGUUCUGAUGAGUCACAAAGUAAAUGGAACCUCUUUUUUGCCAGCAAGCGAGGAUUGCAAACAAAUACAGUGCGACUAUAUGUUACCUCUGUCAAUCAAAUGUACUAAAUGCAACCACGAAUCUGUAUCCUAUGUUCUUUUUUUUAGUUUUUUUUUCCUGAACUUCCUAGUCAGUGACGAUUGCAGAAAUGCAGAAUAUGCAGCAAAGUGCUGGCUUGGUAUUACUUUGUUUUAAGAUAUUAUACUGUAUAUUGUCCAUUGCCAUUGUAGUAAUAGGUAAAGCAGAUUAUUCUUAUGGCUAUGUUUAUAAUCUAGGUACGCAAUGGGCUCAUUCUUUUUCAAAGUUAAAAGGGAAAUGGUCAAGGUUCGUUCUCCAAAGAAGAGAAAGAAGACCAAGGUUGGACGACAGCAACCCACAAUUCGGAGGAGGCUUGGUGACCUCCAAUAUUUUGGCUGGCGGUGGCCGCAGGUCGUUGGCCUUCCAGCGCAUGAGGCCGAGAGGAGGAUCAAACAAGAUUGCCCGGGAGUCUACUGCGAGGUCGUCUCCGUAAAUGCGUUGCUAACCAUGUGUUACUGCACACAUCGCGUUCGGAUCAUGGUGGAUAGAUACGGCAAGGUUGUAAAACCCCCCCACGUUGGUUAGUCUCCUCAUCAAAGUCUGGCCGCUAGGAAUAAAAUGGAGAGUUCGCCCUGGUUUUUUCGUGAUUAAGACAACCGCUGCCACUGUUGCUAUCGCCUGUCGGCGCUAGGAUAUUCAUCGUAAGAAUUACUAGUGUUUCAUA
Molecule: long non-coding RNA, 1261 nt
Organism: Panicum virgatum (switchgrass)
Lineage: Eukaryota; Viridiplantae; Streptophyta; Magnoliopsida; Poales; Poaceae
Exons: 2
Source: RefSeq, a predicted model, not a curated record